UUCUCCAGAACCCUGACAGCUGCUUUAAAAGGAAAGUGGCAGGAUAGGAGCAGCUUAAUCACGCAGCCUGGACAAACAGCUGGCUGCGAGUCUGACUCAGACAGAAACACUGCAGCUUUGUGUGGUAGGUCUGUCUUUCAAUAACAAGUCAGAAGAACCUUCAGACUCCUAUCACCAGAACAUUGUUUUUGUCAAUUUUCCCAUUUUUGGCUUGGGAACGUUGUGUUUUUUAUUGUGGUGCACAUCCAGUAAGUCUCUAUUUUCCAUUUCCAAGGAUAUCCCUUCAUCCUUCCUGAGACGAGCCAUGACCACACUCCAGGAACUCAUCUGGUUUUCAGGAGAAGAAAGAGAGGCUGGUGAGGGAAAGACUAUAUUUUACAGCUUUAUAGCUGCUAUAAUGUUCUUAAGAAAGAUGAAAAUGCACAGCAAUUUGCUCCCAAGAAAUGAAAAACAAAGGCCCUGUGACCUGAACGAUAGAUACAGAGGGAGAAAAAGCACUGCUGGGGAAAGGAAACCAUGCAUUUUAUAAUUACAUGGGCGAUAAGACUGAAUGAACAUGAGUGUGUUUGCCUCUGUUUUUGAGUGUGUGUAUGGGUGUGUGCUGUGUGCAGUGAUAGUUGGCAUUCAUAUGCAUGUUUGCUCAUUUGCCACUGUCAAAUGGUGUGUUUUAUUUGUGUGUGCAAAUGAAAGAUACGGUGUUAUCAGAUUCCCGGUGUAGUUUAUGCUAUUUCUGGAGAACUGUGUCCUUUUGUACACAAGUAUGUUAAGCAUUCACAUAGCGUGGCAUCUGCAGCUAAGCUAUUUGCAGCAACAUGAGGGAAUGAGAUAUUAUUUGUUACAGAGGCCGUGUGCAUGAAAACAGAUCCAUCUUUGGUUGUGUGUGUGCGUGUGUGUGCAUGUGUGUGUUAUAUAUCAUAACUCAUUACUAGCACUAUUGCCAUAAAAGUCUGAGUAGACAUCUAAUCGGAUCUAAGAUCUUAGGUUUAAAAAUAGAUCUUCAGGUUUUAAAGUUUAAAAAAACCCUGAGAGCAUUUAUAUAUCUCGCUCCAUUUUAUGUUUCUUUUAUAACCUUCCAUAUCUCUACUGUUCUGCUUUUAUCUGUCAUUCUUCCUCUAUAUUCUUUGCCUGAUCUAAUGGAUUGCAAGCUAAAAAAAGAGCAAUUGCCCCGUACUAUCCUCACUCUACCCCUCUCUCUCUAGCUUAACAUUUAUAUCACAGAACGUUUGUCUUUGUAUAAUAAAAGGCCAAGCUGUUUUCCAAUGCAGUGCUCUCAUUCCUUUCGUGGCUGGCAUACCUGUCUCUGUGGCAUUUAAAAAUCUCCUCGGCCUGCCCUGGUGUUAAAGGGCAACUUCACCAAUCUUUUCAGAAUUUAAAUGCUCCAUGCUUCUUGAUAGUGCUGUCUCGCUGGAGUGCCCAGAUGAUAGGAGAGAAUGAAGUACCAUGCAAUGAUGGCUGGGGGGAAGACUGUGAGGCUGGUGUGUGUUCAGCUGCGUACAUGAACAGUAUCCAGUCCUGUAAGUUGCUUUGGAGAAAAAUGUCUGCCAAAUGAAGUAAUAGAUAGAUCUGGAGAAAUACGCUGUAGACUCUAGUUGAUAAUAACGCCACAUUUUUUAAAUCUAUGGACUAGGGGUUUGUCAUAACUGCCCUCGUUCAGUCCCUUAGGCAUGCCUUGGGCAACCUUUAGCCCUUCACAAGUGGUUCUGUCAACUGUUUAGCACUGAAGAUACAUUUAAACCUCAAUCAUUCAAUCAUUCAUCUUUGGGAAGAUGAAUGAUCACCUUCGGGUUGCUGUGAAUCUGGAGUCUAUUCCAGAAACAACUGAGCAGGAGGCUGGAAUACACCCUGGAAGAGACCGGUCCAUUGCAGGUCACAGACAGAACAUACAAAACUCACACACAGUAACCGGAGGUCAGGAUCAAACCAGUAACCCUGAAGCUGUGUUUGAUUAUUCUUUCAACUUUGUAAUCUGAGUAAUGCUGAAUUAUUCUUUUUCAGAAUAUUUGCAGUAUACAAUACAAAACUGCUCUCUCUGCUUUUAGUGUUAUAAAUAAAGCAGUGGUCAGAACAAAUGUAAAUAAAAUUCAUCCAGUGGAAAAGCCAAUUCACUGAAGGGGAAAGGACACAAGAUGUGAAAGACACACACUAGCUCCUGGUAGUGCUUGCUUUCGCUUCGUGCCAGCUUUAUCUAGGUGAACUUUGACCUGUGUAUUCUCGAGCCACUGUAUUCUGAGCCAAAAGAAAACAAGAAGGUGGGAUUGUAGUCUCUUGGUAGUCUCUUUGGUCAGUAAAAAAUAUAGAAGCUGCUUGUUACUAAGUAGUGGUGACAUCUGAAGUUUGACUUCCUGUUUUCUGUUACUCUUGGUGCAUAUCUGGGGGGAAAAAAUGUUGUCUCAUCCACGUAUAUACCCGAGGUGAAAUUCUGUGAUAAAAUUCUGCUUUACCUCUUUGCCUGCUAGCAUGUUCUUGUUAGUAAUGUUUGUACCUCUGGGUUAUAUUUUGUGUAGGCAUACAACACCUCUAUGUUUCUGGUGUUUUGUGCUUCCAGCUUUUGACAAACGCUGCCUCUGAAUAUGCAAACUACAAUGUAGCACCUGGUUACACAUCUGUUGUGCAAAUUAGUUCCAUUAGUUCGUCUGUCUUGUGCCCUUGUAGCUCUAUAGUGUAUCCAUGCUCUGUUUUGUGGGAGCAUGAACCAAGGCAGUGGUGUUAAAUUAAAUGGGGUGUUUUAGUGCUGGCUCUAUGUUGAGCACUGCAUAUUAUUCUUCAUGCAAUUGGAUUGAAAUAGCACUCCCCUCCAUGGUGACACCUCAGCCAGCUGCUUAUAUCGCUUUUUUCAAGCACAAGCCCAGUAUUAACUCCAUGGGCGUUAAAUAGUUUGGUUAAACCGUGUUGGUUUCUCUGUGUGUUUUCUAAAUUGCAUGUGUCAAAGCUGUUAUUUUAUACAGCCAAUCAAGCACUUGGAGUUUAGUCUUUCUGAUUUCGACUCUGGUCUUUGUGUUACUGGUUUGUAGCGAGUCAAUAAGAGAUUUUUAGAGACUUUAUGGCAAUAUGCACAAGGUUCCUUGUACAGUGCGAUUCUUAGUUUGCAUGCUGUCAUGGGUGCUGCAGUGAGAUGCUGCGUUCCUGCUGUGUUCAUGGUGCCCUGUAAAUGGUAAUUUGCAAGUUGUAACGACAUCAUCUCCCACCUCGGGAUGUUCAACGUGCGCAGUGGGGGAAAAAAACAAAGCAUGACUGCCUCCACAAAAGUGUGAUUUUUACGUAAAGCUAAUAAAAAGCUCCUUUAACUGCAUGGUGACUUACAGUUACAGACCUGAGUGGCUAUUGGUUCUGUUCUACUAUCUUGAACUUCACAUAUUCAUGCAACAUUUUGGACUGAAAUUGCAGCACAGCAUCAGCAAUAGCGUGUAGCUUAGCACCAAACUGAACCAUGUAUGAGAUCAUUCUAAUGUUGAUGAUUACCUUCGCGAAACAGCGAUUAGUUUGGUCAGUGUUAUAGCUUUACCCAAGCACUGUGUCUGUAUAUUAACUGAUCUAAAGCUAAUACUGCUAUAAACCAAUUUAAAAGUACGCUUAAAGUGAUCUUUAUGCUGUUCCCAGUGUGAGCGGCCAUGUUGGUUAUGAUGUCACCCUGUAAGUGUGGAAGGAACUGGUGGUUGAGAAGACUACCCCAAGGUGAUGAGCUGAAAUAUCAAAGGCAGACAAAUCCAAAAAGUCAAGCCGAAUCAGGGUGUAAUAAACAGGCAGGAGUCAGAUGAUGUAUGAUGGGCAAAAGGCAAAGACAUAAACCAGGAACCUGAAAACAAGAUCGUAUCCAUGAAGUAAACACACUGAUAUAAGGCUUGGUAUGAGAACACUUUGUGUAUACUUCACAAUGGGUAAGUGUACUAAAGGUCCUAAAAUGCUGUGACUGUCCCUGUGUCUCAGUUCACCGACUUACACUAUGCACUAAAAGCAUGUACUGUUUUCUGUGAAGAAAAAGUAGAUACUUUUGAGUGUGUAGUAAAAGAGUACGUUGUUCUACGUUGAGGACGUUGUUGCCCGGAAGCGAACAAACUCCUCGUUUCAGCUUUCCUUCAUUCAUCUUCCCUUAUAUAAUUUAUACUAUAGAAUUUAAUUUACCAUUCCCAUGACUUAUUUUUCCACAUUUCAUUUAAAUCUGCCUUGUUUGCAGGUUGAACUCGGUGAAGCAAACCAUCAUGAAACUCCUCCUCCCUCGUGCAAGGAUUUGUGGGCAAUUUUAGCUGAAAAAGUGUCGACGGAUCCACACUUCGAAAAUCUACCGGAAAUAGUAGACCAUCAGGGUACCUUGGGGAUACUUGCUUCAAUAUACUCUGAUUUGGGACACACUAAUUCUAAUCUCGGAUACUGUUUAGGAUGGAUAGUAGGUGAAUUGGGAAGCAGCACAGAAGCUGGGGUUUCUAGUGGCCAUGUUUGUCAGCUGCUCUGUGUUUCGGGAAUUGGAAAGCAAUGCUGAUUCCGGUG
Molecule: long non-coding RNA, 4482 nt
Organism: Pangasianodon hypophthalmus (striped catfish)
Lineage: Eukaryota; Metazoa; Chordata; Actinopteri; Siluriformes; Pangasiidae
Exons: 4
Source: RefSeq, a predicted model, not a curated record